AGUGAAUCACAGAGGAAUAAAAAAUGGAUGCAUGUUGUUCCUGUGCUUGCUUGGGCUUCGUCCUGGUCCUGGUCCUGGUCCUGGUCUUGGGCUUCGUCCUGGUCCUGGUCCUGGUCCUGGUCUUGGUCUUGGUCUUGGUCUUGGUCUUGGUCUUGGUCUUGGGCUUCGUCCUGGUCCUGGUCCUGGUCCUGGUCCUGGUCCUGGUCCUGGUCUUGGACCUCCCUUGCCACCAACACAUGCACAUUCCAUUGCUCCUGCAGUCUGUGUCCUUGACCAGAGGUCUCAGUUCUGGAGUCGGUCCCUGAGUCUGAACGCUGCCAACUGCUCCCUCAGGACGGGUUCACCAGUUGCAACAUGUUGGACGUGGUUUCACACACACGGUUUAAACAAGGUCAUAAACUCCUGUGCUGACUGGUUCUUCUGCUUGUGUCUUGUGUGAUGAUAAUAAUAAAAACACCAUUUGGAGGUUAACGAGGUUAAAAACUGGAUUUUCUUGGAGGGGUCCAACAGUGUGGAGCACUGAUGUAAAGUCUCCUGUUGUCACGGUACAGAGUGUCACAGUCUGAACAUCCAGCAGACGCAGUGCUGACAGCGUCUCACCUGGCUGCUGCAACACAACCUCUUCAUUUACAUUAAAUGUGGUGAAGCCCCUGAAGUCAAAGAUGUCCUGAAACCCCAAAUUACAUCUAAUGGAGGUAAAGUCAAAGUUUGCUGAGGUGAGUUUUCCUGAUGUGAUGACAUCUGGGCCUUUUCACUGUGUGGAAACAUCAGCUGCAGCCUGCCAGGUGACCCGGUUACUCAUUAACAGAACAAGAGGACGUAAAUACUGAGCGGGUCCAAACAGGGAGGAGAGUCGGGACGAUAUAAAUUCUGUCUGAGCUGUGAAACAAAGCUGCAUUCGCUCCAGGUCGGUGUAUAGUUCAAGGUUUCAGAGGGAACUUCCUUUUUUUACGUCUCUACAUUUCUGCGACUGCUUCAGAAGUUUAACUGCAGACGUCACCACAACCACAACAUGAGUCUGUUUCCUGAUCUUUGCUGCUGUGCGGCACUCCAAACCACAACUACGACCUGUCGGGCUCGGACCUGAGGAGGCUCUACAACUCUCCGGUGUACAAGGCUGAGAGGAUGAAGAGGCCGCUGGAGGGAACUGGCUUUGUGUUGGGACCCAUCAGCCACUCUGGAGUCAGGUCAGUCUGCAGCAGCUGUGGUUCUGAUCCAGGUCCAGAUCCCUCACAGGUGGAAGAUGACAAUGGUCGGUGUGUCAGGGCGAGUACAUUAGCUUUGCUUUAGCAACACAAUAACACAACACAACACAACACAACACACAGACAUCAUCACUUCAAAACUGUUAUUUCUUCACUUUUUUAUGUUUUCAACUAUAAUCAUGACAUGAUGCACCUAUAAUAAAGGUGUGGUGUCUGACUGCAUUUACAGUUUCACACUGAGUCAUAUUUAAAACAUUACCUUUGUGUCUGUUAGAUGAUCUUUCACUGGUUAAGUUUGAGUUUGCAGUACUGCUUCCUGUACGUAACCAGUGUUACACUAAUGCUGUACGUCUCCUGUUGAUACUCUUGUCGCCCAUAAUCUUGUUUUCUACCUGUGUGACUACAUUAAAAGACCAAUAAGAA
Acanthopagrus latus (yellowfin seabream) is the source of this 1628-nucleotide long non-coding RNA. RefSeq lists it as uncharacterized. The transcript is spliced from 2 exons. NCBI's taxonomy places the organism in Eukaryota, Metazoa, Chordata, Actinopteri, Spariformes, Sparidae. The record is from RefSeq and is a predicted model, not a curated record.